ACAAGUACUCCUUUUCUUUUUGCUGAGCUGAGUGACAGCCUGAAUAGUAUUCUCUAUUAGCUGGGAUUCUUUUUACUUUGGUAUUGUCUUUGCUAAAUGUAAUUUAUGAGAGCUAAGAGGUAUUGUAUCCAGUAACUUCCUUUUCAUCUCCAUGCAGGUCUGUCCACUGAAUGAGAACUCACAACGGGUACACCUACACUGCAAAAAAAAACCAACCACCAACAACCAUCCAGCAGUGAGUCUCAGAGCCCAGGUUGACAGAUUUGUGCUCAUGCUACAGCACUAAAAAUAGCAGUGUAGAAAUUUCCACUCAGGAUCUGAGACCCACCCACCUUGCCAGGUUUCAGAGCUGAGUUUCAGACUGAGUGGGAAGGUCUUUGCUAUUUUUAGCACUUUAGCAUGAGCCCCAUGAGCCUGAGUCUGUAAACCCUGGGCUCUGAGACUUGUUGCCAGGUUCUCUAUUUUUUUUUCCCUUGCAGUGUAGGUGUACCCUUAGACCCCGAUUUUAGAUUUAAGGGUAUUUGUUGUGCAGAACAUGAAUAUGUGGGACUCUAUCCUGCAAGGUGUUGAGUACCCUCAUCUCCUACUUCCUUUUAGGACCUGGCCCUUGGUCUCUGCCCCAAGGAACUUAACAUACUAACUCGGAUUUCUGAGGGUUCAGCAUAUACCUCACUUCAAAAACAGUGCCACCGCAUCUUGGCCACUCUGCAAUAAAGCUGCAUGCACAUUCUGAAUAGCACCACUAACAGGUGAUUAUUAAGGUUUAGAAUGAGAAGUUGUUUUCUCUUUGAAACAAACUAAUUAAAGCUGCAGUUCCUUAUGCCCCAAAUCUUGUUUCCUUUUUUUAUGUAACCAGUUGCCAACCUGUGCUUGUGUCCCACACUGCUAUCUUUUGCUCUCUUACCCCUCUGUGUAAAUUGGGAAUUUUUGUAAAAUGAGGCAACAGAUGGAGAAUAAUUUUAAAUGCAUGAUUUGUAGAUGGGAGCUAUUUCCUUUUGUCAGAUUAUGCUGUAAAUAGUCUAAAUGUAGGGUAGUGCUAGAAUGGUUAGGAUUUUGUUUACAUAACUGAACUGCAUAAGUAAUACUUCUAUAACUAAAGACUUGUUUCUCUUCACUUGCAAUAGUUUGUCUCUUUAAUUGAAUUAUCUUUCAUGUGCUUAAAGCAAGAUACGUCAUCCUGUGUAGACGGACAAUAUGGGCCUGACCCAGUAAGGCUUUAGGGCCAGGUGGGCUAUCUGCCAAGGAGCCGGUGGAUUGUAGGAUAUUGAUUUUGAUCUGUAAAACAUCAGAUGCUCUGGGACCCAUCUCUCUGGGAGACCACUGCUCUCCCUGUGCCAAGCUGCCAGAAUUGGGAUCAGCAAGGAUGCCAGAUCUGGAGCCCACUCAUGAAAGAGAGGGGCAGCUGGCAGGGCAUUCUGUAUUAGGCAUCCAUCUAUCAUUUAAAUUUCCUUCCUCUGAUCCAAAAUAGUGAUAUGCAAUAUCAAGGUAAAAACACCAGUUGCUUUGCUGUGAGGGUCUGGGAGGAUGCUGAUGGGGGGUUGUAGAGCUUAGCUAGGUCUUUAGUUGCUGGUGAUGUUAAUUAUUGAGUAAAGAAAUGUCCCUGGGGACCAUGUUUUUAAAACAUGUCAAGGCACUAGGGCAAAGGAGAGGUGGUGCCCUUUAUGGAAUGUUUAUAAAUCAGUCCAAGUUAUUAUUUUAAUUUAUUUAGUUGAAGUUGGCAGGAGUUGGACCAGGCUCUUAGCACUAUCAGAGUUAAGGAACCUGGAGUCAAAAAGUUUUAUAGACCACAAGACGCUAAAGGGAUAGGACAGAACUCAUAGGAGAUUCUUUAGUUUUCCUUUGCUGUGUCUCUGUGAAGAAAGUAAUUUAUAAUAGUAACCCCUUAACCCUGAGAGGGAAUUUCUGGAUGAAGAGUUCUAAGUGCUUUGUAAAAAGGGGUAAAUAAUAUCUACCUUAUAGCUGGGUGUGCUAAGGCAGGGAGAGAUUAUGUGACUGUCCUCAAAUCACACAGUGAACCAGUGAUGGAGCAGAGAAUAGAACUCAACUCUCCCCAGUUUGGCAUCGUAUCCUCUAACUACACUGCUUCACAGUAGACAUUGCUUCCUCUCUUGCACUGGAAGUGAUAUAUUGCUUCUGGGAGAGUAACUGCAUCUGUUUACACAAACUGGACACAAUUUUAGGUCCCUGAAACAACACAACCAGAGUAAAGAAAUAUAUACAGUAGUGAACUUGUGUGUUAAUGUGUAAUGCCUUAGAAGUUAUACAAGGUAAGACUGUAAUUAGCAGCACAUUCUGUACUAUCAGAUGGUCUCUUUGUUCACUUGGUUGGCAGCUUAAAACCAGCUGUCAGGGUUUGCAGCUUGCUGGGUUGCGCUUACAGCUUUUUUCUGAUCUCCAGUAUAUGAUAAUACAGCUUGUAAAAUCAGCUCCUGUGCACAUGUGCUAACAUGAUAAUAGACAUUGCUAAAUACAUAGCAAUAUAGUCCACACCAAGAGGACCAUGUGGUCUGAAAUGUGGCCAUGCAGCAGCACUAUUUCAGUAGUUUGGGGAGAAAAAUCAUAUUAUGGCGCAUAGCAGAUUGGAAAACAUGGUUUUGGCAUUGUCUCACAUUGUCUUAUUCUUUUCAACCUGGUUUUGUGCAACUUUUAUUAUGAAGAUAGUGGUUUUUUUCAGUUUCAGCCGAGGAAGCUUUUACUAGUGCCAAAGUUGACCAGGGCAGUUCCUAAAAGUGUAUAUAUUGCAAGGUGGCCACAUGCGGAGCUGAUGUAUGUAAGUUCAUUCAGUUUAUUUUACACUUCAGUUGAGAGAUAGUAAAGUACAUGACAGAAUUACUGCAUAGAAACUUUCCAAUUCCAGUUUGUCAUUGGAGGUAGUUUAGGGGUGUAGCUAUAGACGUUCAGCCUAGGUUAUGUUGUCCUUUCAUUCAUGUGCACCCUGAUUCACCAAGAUACUUAAGCAUAUGCCUAACUAAGCGUGUAAGUAGUCCCAUUACAGUCACAUGUUUAAAGUUAGGCUUAAUUGCAAGCCUAGUACAAUAAAUAUGCAGGCCCUUAGCAACAAUCACCCUACCUUGAAGAACUUGGUAUUAAAAGACCUAAGCCACAAAGUUUGGAUCCAUGGCCCAAGCCACUAAACUUCAUCUAAAUUUGGUGGUGAUUGUUUCCAGGAUUUUGGAUCAGUCAGAUCAGAUCCUAAGGUGGGGUCAGCUCUCCUGUUCCGAUCUGGUUCCAAGCUCCCCCAGUGUUAUGCUUGGCUUUGGGGUGUUGGGUCAGGCUCAUCUCUGCAUCUCAUUUGAUCAUCAAGGAACUGCCAAGAUGUCAUUAAUUAAAAAAUAAAUGUCUUAUGACCCUUUAAAAGCUGGGCGUAGAUCUGUUUCUUUACAAAAUUGUGUUUUCUCCUUCUAUGCACUCUGGUAAGGGGUUGUUUUUGUAGGAUUUGUCAGAAGUGCUGAUUGUUUAGGGCGGGGAAGGAAGUAUUUCUUCACACAACACACAGUCAAGCUGUGGAACUCCUUGCCAGAGGAUGUUGUGAUAUCUAAGAUUAUAAUAGGGUUCAAAAAAGAACUGGUUAAAUUCAUGGAGGAUGGG
This is a long non-coding RNA of Dermochelys coriacea (leatherback sea turtle), 3588 nucleotides long. RefSeq lists it as uncharacterized. The record is from RefSeq and is a predicted model, not a curated record. The transcript has 3 exons. NCBI's taxonomy places the organism in Eukaryota, Metazoa, Chordata, Testudines, Dermochelyidae.